AAUGAACGCUAGCGGGAUGCCUUACACAUGCAAGUCGAACGGAGUGGCGAACGGGCGAGUAAGGUAUCGGAACGUGCCCAGUAGCGGGGGAUAACUACGCGAAAGCGUAGCUAAUCACGCACACUAUUGGAGUGGCCGAUAUCGGAUUUGCUAGUUGGUGGGGUAACGGCUCACCAAGGCGACGAACCGUAGCAGGUUUGAGAGGACGACCAGCCACACUGGAACUGAGACACGGCCCAGACUCCUACGGGAGGCAGCAGUGGGGAAUUUUGGACAAUGGGGGAAAGCCUGAUGCAGCCAUCCCGCGUGAGCGAUGAAGGCCUUCGGGUUGUAAAGCACUUUUGGCAGGAAAGCGGUACCUGCAGAAUAAGCACCGGCUAACUACGUGCCAGCAGCCGCGGUAAUAC
RNAcentral lists this ribosomal RNA (407 nucleotides) under uncultured bacterium. RNAcentral describes it as "partial 16S ribosomal RNA". It matches the Rfam family "Bacterial small subunit ribosomal RNA", at positions 29 to 526 of the family's 1533-position model. The record is from RNAcentral.